GUUAAGCGACUAAGCGUACACGGUGGAUGCCCUGGCAGUCAGAGGCGAUGAAGGACGUGCUAAUCUGCGAUAAGCGUCGGUAAGGUGAUAUGAACCGUUAUAACCGGCGAUUUCCGAAUGGGGAAACCCAGUGUGAUUCGUCACACUAUCAUUAACUGAAUCCAUAGGUUAAUGAGGCGAACCGGGGGAACUGAAACAUCUAAGUACCCCGAGGAAAAGAAAUCAACCGAGAUUCCCCCAGUAGCGGCGAGCGAACGGGGAGCAGCCCAGAGCCUGAAUCAGUGUGUGUGUUAGUGGAAGCGUCUGGAAAGGCGCGCGAUACAGGGUGACAGCCCCGUACACAAAAAUGCACAUGCUGUGAGCUCGAUGAGUAGGGCGGGACACGUGGUAUCCUGUCUGAAUAUGGGGGGACCAUCCUCCAAGGCUAAAUACUCCUGACUGACCGAUAGUGAACCAGUACCGUGAGGGAAAGGCGAAAAGAACCCCGGCGAGGGGAGUGAAAAAGAACCUGAAACCGUGUACGUACAAGCAGUGGGAGCACGCUUAGGCGUGUGACUGCGUACCUUUUGUAUAAUGGGUCAGCGACUUAUAUUCUGUAGCAAGGUUAACCGAAUAGGGGAGCCGAAGGGAAACCGAGUCUUAACUGGGCGUUAAGUUGCAGGGUAUAGACCCGAAACCCGGUGAUCUAGCCAUGGGCAGGUUGAAGGUUGGGUAACACUAACUGGAGGACCGAACCGACUAAUGUUGAAAAAUUAGCGGAUGACUUGUGGCUGGGGGUGAAAGGCCAAUCAAACCGGGAGAUAGCUGGUUCUCCCCGAAAGCUAUUUAGGUAGCGCCUCGUGAAUUCAUCUCCGGGGGUAGAGCACUGUUUCGGCAAGGGGGUCAUCCCGACUUACCAACCCGAUGCAAACUGCGAAUACCGGAGAAUGUUAUCACGGGAGACACACGGCGGGUGCUAACGUCCGUCGUGAAGAGGGAAACAACCCAGACCGCCAGCUAAGGUCCCAAAGUCAUGGUUAAGUGGGAAACGAUGUGGGAAGGCCCAGACAGCCAGGAUGUUGGCUUAGAAGCAGCCAUCAUUUAAAGAAAGCGUAAUAGCUCACUGGUCGAGUCGGCCUGCGCGGAAGAUGUAACGGGGCUAAACCAUGCACCGAAGCUGCGGCAGCGACGCUUAUGCGUUGUUGGGUAGGGGAGCGUUCUGUAAGCCUGCGAAGGUGUGCUGUGAGGCAUGCUGGAGGUAUCAGAAGUGCGAAUGCUGACAUAAGUAACGAUAAAGCGGGUGAAAAGCCCGCUCGCCGGAAGACCAAGGGUUCCUGUCCAACGUUAAUCGGGGCAGGGUGAGUCGACCCCUAAGGCGAGGCCGAAAGGCGUAGUCGAUGGGAAACAGGUUAAUAUUCCUGUACUUGGUGUUACUGCGAAGGGGGGACGGAGAAGGCUAUGUUGGCCGGGCGACGGUUGUCCCGGUUUAAGCGUGUAGGCUGGUUUUCCAGGCAAAUCCGGAAAAUCAAGGCUGAGGCGUGAUGACGAGGCACUACGGUGCUGAAGCAACAAAUGCCCUGCUUCCAGGAAAAGCCUCUAAGCAUCAGGUAACAUCAAAUCGUACCCCAAACCGACACAGGUGGUCAGGUAGAGAAUACCAAGGCGCUUGAGAGAACUCGGGUGAAGGAACUAGGCAAAAUGGUGCCGUAACUUCGGGAGAAGGCACGCUGAUAUGUAGGUGAAGUCCCUCGCGGAUGGAGCUGAAAUCAGUCGAAGAUACCAGCUGGCUGCAACUGUUUAUUAAAAACACAGCACUGUGCAAACACGAAAGUGGACGUAUACGGUGUGACGCCUGCCCGGUGCCGGAAGGUUAA
This 1853-nucleotide ribosomal RNA is filed under the name Escherichia coli. Its description in RNAcentral is "partial 23S ribosomal RNA". It matches the Rfam family "Bacterial large subunit ribosomal RNA", at positions 1 to 1880 of the family's 2925-position model. Lineage: Bacteria; Pseudomonadati; Pseudomonadota; Gammaproteobacteria; Enterobacterales; Enterobacteriaceae. The record is from RNAcentral.